Molecule: transfer RNA, 72 nt
Organism: Loxodonta africana (African savanna elephant)
Lineage: Eukaryota; Metazoa; Chordata; Mammalia; Proboscidea; Elephantidae
Rfam family: tRNA
About the family: Transfer RNA (tRNA) molecules are approximately 80 nucleotides in length. Their secondary structure includes four short double-helical elements and three loops (D, anti-codon, and T loops).
Source: Rfam
GCCCUGGUGGUGCAAAGGUUAAGCGCUUGGCUACUAACCCAAAGGUUGGUGGUUCAAACCCACCCAGGGGCU